This 942-nucleotide ribosomal RNA is filed under the name Lepiota clypeolaria. Its description in RNAcentral is "LSU rRNA". It matches the Rfam family "Eukaryotic large subunit ribosomal RNA", at positions 38 to 964 of the family's 3401-position model. The record is from RNAcentral. Lineage: Eukaryota; Fungi; Basidiomycota; Agaricomycetes; Agaricales; Agaricaceae.
GCAUAUCAAUAAGCGGAGGAAAAGAAACUAACAAGGAUUCCCCUAGUAACUGCGAGUGAAGCGGGAAAAGCUCAAAUUUAAAAUCUGGCGGUCUCUGGCUGUCCGAGUUGUAAUCUAGAGAAGUGUUGCCCGCGCUGGACCGUGUACAAGUCUCCUGGAAUGGAGCGUCAUAGAGGGUGAGAAUCCCGUCUUUGACACGGACUACCAGGGCUUUGUGGUACGCUCUCAAAGAGUCGAGUUGUUUGGGAAUGCAGCUCAAAAUGGGUGGUAAAUUCCAUCUAAAGCUAAAUAUUGGCGAGAGACCGAUAGCGAACAAGUACCGUGAGGGAAAGAUGAAAAGAACUUUGGAAAGAGAGUUAAACAGUACGUGAAAUUGCUGAAAGGGAAACGCUUGAAGUCAGUCGCGUUGGCCGGGGAUCAGCCUCGCUCUUUUGCGUGGUGUACUUUCCGGUCGACGGGUCAGCAUCAAUUUUGAUCGCUGGAAAAAGGCCUGAGGAAUGUGGCAGCUCCGGCUGUGUUAUAGCUUCUGGUCACAUACAGCGGUUGGGAUUGAGGAACUCAGCACGCCGCAAGGCCGGGUUUCGACCACGUUCGUGCUUAGGAUGCUGGCAUAAUGGCUUUAAGCGACCCGUCUUGAAACACGGACCAAGGAGUCUAACAUGCCUGCGAGUGUUUGGGUGGAAAACCCGAGCGCGUAAUGAAAGUGAAAGUUGAGAUCCCUGUCGCGGGGAGCAUCGACGCCCGGACCAGAACUUUUGGGACGGAUCCGCGGUAGAGCAUGUAUGUUGGGACCCGAAAGAUGGUGAACUAUGCCUGAAUAGGGUGAAGCCAGAGGAAACUGCUGGUGGAGGCUCGUAGCGAUUCUGACGUGCAAAUCGAUCGUCAAAUUUGGGUAUAGGGGCGAAAGACUAAUCGAACCAUCUAGUAGCUGGUUCCUGCCGA